ACGUAGGGUGCGAGCGUUAAUCGGAAUUAUUGGGCGUAAAGCGUGCGCAGGCGGCGCCAUAAGACAGCUGUGAAAUCCCCGGGCUUAACCUGGGAACUGCGGUUGUGACUGUGGUGCUAGAGUACGGCAGAGGGAGGUGGAAUUCCUGGUGUAGCAGUGAAAUGCGUAGAGAUCCGGAGGAACCCCGGUGGCGAAGGCGACUUGCUGGGCCUGAACUGACGCUCAGACGCGAAAGCAUGGGGAGCGAACGG
RNAcentral lists this ribosomal RNA (251 nucleotides) under uncultured prokaryote. RNAcentral describes it as "partial 16S ribosomal RNA". It matches the Rfam family "Bacterial small subunit ribosomal RNA", at positions 525 to 775 of the family's 1533-position model. The record is from RNAcentral.